CCUACGGGUGACAGCAGUGAGGAAUAUUGGUCAAUGGGCGAGAGCCUGAACCAGCCAAGUCGCGUGAGGGAGUACUGCCCUAUGGGUUGUAAACCUCUUUUGUCGGGGAGCAAAAGCCGGACGUGUCCGGCUGUGAGAGUACCCGAAGAAAAAGCAUCAGCUAACUCCGUGCCAGCAGCCGCGGUAAUACGGAGGAUGCGAGCGUUAUCCGGAUUUAUUGGGUUUAAAGGGUGCGCAGGCGGAUUUUUAAGUAAGCGGUAAAAUCGUGGGGCUCAACCCCAUCCAGCCGUUGAAACUGGGGAUCUAGAGUGUGCGAGAGGUAUGCGGAAUGCGUGGUGUAGCGGUGAAAUGCAUAGAUAUCACGCAGAACCCCGAUUGCGAAGGCAGCAUACCGGUGCACAACUGACGCUCAGGCACGAAAGCGUGGGUAUCGAACAGGAUUAGAUACCCGGGUAGUC
This 458-nucleotide ribosomal RNA is filed under the name uncultured bacterium. RNAcentral's name for it is "partial 16S ribosomal RNA". It matches the Rfam family "Bacterial small subunit ribosomal RNA", at positions 338 to 795 of the family's 1533-position model. The record is from RNAcentral.